RNAcentral lists this ribosomal RNA (428 nucleotides) under uncultured bacterium. RNAcentral describes it as "bacterial SSU rRNA". It matches the Rfam family "Bacterial small subunit ribosomal RNA", at positions 355 to 775 of the family's 1533-position model. The record is from RNAcentral.
CUAAGAAUAUUCCGCAAUGGACGAAAGUCUGACGGAGCGACGCCGCGUGGAUGAAGAAGGCCGAAAGGUUGUAAAGUUCUUUUGUUGGGGAAGAAUAACCAUGGGAGGGAAUGCCCGUGGGAUGGCAUGAACCGACGAAUAAGCCCCGGCUAACUACGUGCCAGCAGCCGCGGUAACACGUAGGGGGCAAGCGUUGUUCGGAAUUACUGGGCGUAAAGGGCAUGUAGGCGGCCUUGUAAGCUUGGCGUGAAAGUCCACGGCUUAACCGUGGGAUUGCGUUGAGCACUGCGAGGCUUGAGUGACGGAGAGGGAGCUAGAAUUCCUGGUGUAGGGGUGGAAUCUGUAGAGAUCAGGAAGAAUACCAAUGGCGAAGGCAAGCUCCGGGCCGAUGACUGACACUGAGGUGCGAAAGUGUGGGGAUCAAACAG